UGGGGAAUAUUGCGCAAUGGGGGCAACCCUGACGCAGCAACGCCGCGUGCGGGACGACGGCCUUCGGGUUGUAAACCGCUUUCAGCAGGGAAGAUAGUGACGGUACCUGCACAAGAAGCCCCGGCUAACUACGUGCCAGCAGCCGCGGUAAUACGUAGGGGGCGAGCGUUAUCCGGAUUCAUUGGGCGUAAAGCGCGCGCAGGCGGCUCUUCAAGCGGAACCUCUAACCCCGGGGCUCAACCUCGGGCCGGGUUCCGAACUGGAGGGCUCGAGUGCGGUAGAGGCGGGCGGAAUUCCCGGUGUAGCGGUGGAAUGCGCAGAUAUCGGGAAGAACACCGAUGGCGAAGGCAGCCUGCUGGGCCGGCACUGACGCUGAGGCGCGAAAGCUAGGGGAGCGAACAGG
RNAcentral lists this ribosomal RNA (403 nucleotides) under Verrucomicrobiota bacterium. Its description in RNAcentral is "Verrucomicrobia bacterium partial 16S ribosomal RNA". It matches the Rfam family "Bacterial small subunit ribosomal RNA", at positions 355 to 776 of the family's 1533-position model. Lineage: Bacteria; Pseudomonadati; Verrucomicrobiota. The record is from RNAcentral.